AGGUAAGAAUUUGGAAAACUCACUUUCCUGCCCUCUUGGGAUUUCAGCCGUUAUGCUGUUUGAUAUUCCUUUGUUUUAUACCCCAUUUCUCUACCAGACGUCCAUCUGAAAGCAGGGGGGCAGAGAACACGUAAAGAGGAACUGAAAGACUAAUCCAGCGCUGCCCUUGCAAGACGCAUUCUAUUUAAACUGAAAAGGUCACUGCCCGCAUGAUUGCAUCAGCCACCA
This is a non-coding RNA of Struthio camelus australis, 228 nucleotides long. NCBI's taxonomy places the organism in Eukaryota, Metazoa, Chordata, Aves, Struthioniformes, Struthionidae. The record is from RefSeq and is a predicted model, not a curated record.